Molecule: ribosomal RNA, 295 nt
Filed under: Leptalpheus felderi
Lineage: Eukaryota; Metazoa; Arthropoda; Malacostraca; Decapoda; Alpheidae
Description: partial small subunit ribosomal RNA
Source: RNAcentral
AAACUCUGAGUAGUAAACAGAUAUGAGCUCGAAACUUAAAGAAUUUGGCGGUACUUAAGUCUAGUUAGAGGAGCCUGUGCUAUAAACGAUAAACCCCGAAUAUCUUACUUCUUUUUGAAAAUGCAGUACGUAUACCGUCAUUAUUGAUAAUUUUAUAAAAAGUUUAUCAUGAUAAAUUAAAAUUUAGUAUAUUAGAUCAAGGUGCGGCUAAUAAUGAAGUUGACAUGGGCUACAAUGAUAUGAGAUUAUACGGAUGGAUCUAGUCAGAUAGUUUCAAUAAGGUGGAUUUAAUAGU